UGAGGAAUCUUGCGCAAUGGGCGAAAGCCUGACGGAGCAACGCCGCGUGAGUGAAGAAGGUUUUCGGAUCGUAAAGCUCUGUCAACAGGGACGAAACAAGACGGUACCUGAGAAGGAAGCCACGGCAAACUACGUGCCAGCAGCCGCGGUAAUACGUAGGUGGCAAGCGUUGUCCGGAAUAACUGGGCGUAAAGCGCAUGUAGACGGCAUGAUAAGCCAAAUGUGAAAUGUAGGGGCUCAACCCCUGCACUGCGAUUGGAACUGUCAAGCUUGAGUGCAGGAGAGGCAAAUGGAAUUCCCAGUGUAGCAGUGAAAUGCGUAGAGAUUGGGAGGAACACCAGUGGCGAAGGCGAUUUGCUGGACUGCAACUGACGUUGAGAUGCGAAAGCCAGGGGAGCAAACG
This 403-nucleotide ribosomal RNA is filed under the name uncultured prokaryote. RNAcentral describes it as "bacterial SSU rRNA". It matches the Rfam family "Bacterial small subunit ribosomal RNA", at positions 355 to 774 of the family's 1533-position model. The record is from RNAcentral.